Molecule: ribosomal RNA, 146 nt
Filed under: uncultured bacterium
Lineage: Bacteria
Description: partial 16S ribosomal RNA
Rfam family: Bacterial small subunit ribosomal RNA
Source: RNAcentral
CCUACGGGAGGCAGCAGUGAGGAAUAUUGCGCAAUGGAGGAAACUCUGACGCAGCGACGCCGCGUGGGUGAUGAAGGCCCUCGGGUCGUAAAGCCCUUUUAUGGGGGAAGAGAAAGGACGGUACCCCAUGAAUAAGCCCCGGCUAA